This 429-nucleotide ribosomal RNA is filed under the name Bacteroidota bacterium. Its description in RNAcentral is "Bacteroidetes bacterium partial 16S ribosomal RNA". It matches the Rfam family "Bacterial small subunit ribosomal RNA", at positions 355 to 776 of the family's 1533-position model. The record is from RNAcentral. Lineage: Bacteria; Pseudomonadati; Bacteroidota.
UAGGGAAUCUUCCGCAAUGGACGCAAGUCUGACGGAGCAACGCCGCGUGAGUGAAGAAGGAUUUCGGUUCGUAAAACUCUGUUGUUAGAGAAGAACAGCGCAUAGAGUAACUGUUAUGCGUGUGACGGUAUCUAACCAGAAAGCCACGGCUAACUACGUGCCAGCAGCCGCGGUAAUACGUAGGUGGCAAGCGUUGUCCUGAUUUAUUGGGCGUAAAGCGAGCGCAAGCGGUCAAUUAAGUCUGAUGUGAAAGCCCCCGGCUCAACCGGGGAGGGUCAUUGGAAACUGGUAGACUUGAGUGCAGAAGAGGAGGGUGGAAUUCCAUGUGUAGCGGUGAAAUGCGUAGAUGUAUGGAGGAACACCAGUGGCGAAGGCGACUCUCUGGUCUGUAACUGACGCUGAGGCUCGAAAGCGUGGGUAGCAAACAGG